This 465-nucleotide ribosomal RNA is filed under the name uncultured bacterium. Its description in RNAcentral is "partial 16S ribosomal RNA". It matches the Rfam family "Bacterial small subunit ribosomal RNA", at positions 339 to 795 of the family's 1533-position model. The record is from RNAcentral.
CUACGGGAGGCAGCAGUGAGGAAUUUUGCGCAAUGGGGGAAACCCUGACGCAGCAACGCCGCGUGAGUGAUGAAGGCCUUCGGGUCGUAAAGCUCUGUCAAGUGGGAAGAACCUAGCAAAGGGUAAUAUUCUUUGUUACUGACGGUACCACUGAAGGAAGCACCGGCUAACUCCGUGCCAGCAGCCGCGGUAAUACGGGGGGUGCAAGCGUUAUUCGGAAUUAUUGGGCGUAAAGGGCGCGUAGGCGGUUUUGUUAGUCAGAUGUGAAAGCCCGGGGCUCAACCCCGGAAGUGCAUUUGAUACUGCAAGACUUGAGUAUGGGAGAGGGAAGUGGAAUUCCUGGUGUAGAGGUGAAAUUCGUAGAUAUCAGGAGGAACAUCAGUGGCGAAGGCGACUUCCUGGACCAAUACUGACGCUGAGGCGCGAAGGCGUGGGUAGCAAACAGGAUUAGAUACCCCUGUAGUC